Molecule: transfer RNA, 59 nt
Filed under: Taenia madoquae
Lineage: Eukaryota; Metazoa; Platyhelminthes; Cestoda; Cyclophyllidea; Taeniidae
Description: tRNA-Ser (UCN)
Source: RNAcentral
ACUUAUGAAUAAUAUUUGAUUUGAAAUCAAGUUAAUUGCUUUUAGUAGCAACAUAGGUU